Molecule: long non-coding RNA, 346 nt
Filed under: Cicer arietinum (chickpea)
Lineage: Eukaryota; Viridiplantae; Streptophyta; Magnoliopsida; Fabales; Fabaceae
Description: long non-coding RNA (CARI_LNC000562)
Source: RNAcentral
AUACAUUUAUUUAUCAUUUAUCUGCAAACUAAAUUUAAUUAUAAUGAACACUCUAUUGAAGAUGUUCUUGAAGUAUGUGGUGUUACUUGUUGCUAUUGCAGGUAUUUUGGCUGGCGGUGUACAAGGAAAACUACCUCCUUGUUACAAUGAUAUAGAAUGUCAACCACUUGAGUGUCCUACGCUCCCCUGUUGCCAGCCUCCUUCCAAUGAUAUGGAAGCUUAAAACUUUAGACCUCUUGUUUUUACAUACCCAAUAAUUAUAUUUAAUAAAAAGUCCUUCAUAUAUGUAUUAAUAAUAUUGCAUCAAUAAGAUUGGUAUGAAUAUAUAAUUUUAUAUUUUUUGAAA